RNAcentral lists this microRNA precursor (136 nucleotides) under Hordeum vulgare. RNAcentral's name for it is "microRNA MIR1122". It matches the Rfam family "MIR1120/MIR1122 microRNA precursor family". The record is from RNAcentral. Lineage: Eukaryota; Viridiplantae; Streptophyta; Magnoliopsida; Poales; Poaceae.
UAGGUACUCCCUCCGUCCCAAAAUUCUUGUCUUAGAUUUGUAUUGAUAUGAAUGUAUCUAGUCAUGUUUUAGUAUUUAGAAACAUCCAUUUCUAGAUAAACAUAAGACAAGAAUUUUGGGAGAGAGGGAGUACUAA